Long non-coding RNA from Vollenhovia emeryi, 1616 nucleotides. RefSeq lists it as uncharacterized. The record is from RefSeq and is a predicted model, not a curated record. NCBI's taxonomy places the organism in Eukaryota, Metazoa, Arthropoda, Insecta, Hymenoptera, Formicidae. The transcript is spliced from 2 exons.
AUGCGCAGUCUAUAUAUACUAUGUCUAUGGCCUGCACACUGCAUUGCUCGCGCUACUUCGUUAUCGGCACUGCGUGCACUCCGUGUAUAUUAUCCCGUGGAUUAUUUGCACUGUAUCGACACUACAGGCUCAAAUACAUAUACACCGGAGAUUGCGACCAUUAGAAUUGGACCAAAUUGGACCAACCGUGUGAUCUUAAUCCGUUCUGUUCUGGCGCAACAGCAAGAUUACGCGCUCACACACGUGCGCCUGUGCGCGCAUCAUGACGGGACCGCUCGCGCGCGCGUGUAUGUGCGAAGGGUCAAGCCUCGGAGGUCGGAGGAGAACUGUCAAGGGUGGAUGUUAAAAACAGAGGACGAUAGUGCGAAUAUAGAUACGGCGAUGCGGGACGUUGACCGCCGACGUGAGAAGCCGCUCAUCGAGAAGUAGACUGUCCGAUUGCCUCGAGGAACAUGGACCGCGUCCCGGAUGACCGAGGACUUGUGCCUCUCGCCGUUUAGACCCGACGUGCACUCGAGCGUGUACCACGCAGCCGGAGCCAAAUCACGUCCGAAGGUCCCGAUCGAAGGAUGCGAAGGAUGCCUACUGACAUUUUCCUGGGAAACAGUGGCACCCUUCAUCGCUCCUUGAUGUUCAUACUGAAGCUCGGCUGGCAGUCCAGAUUCCGCUUGCCCGUGCUCCUGGUCAUCGUCUUCGUCGCCAUGGACUACAGGCUGCAGCUGGAGAUCGAAUUCGGGGACAACGCGGACCAACACGAUGACCUGUGAUCCGAUACGGGCGAGAUCAGAUAGAUUGUAAUAUACAUGUGGCGUGUGAGAUUCUAGUUUCUACUUCAAUCGUAAGGUAGAAACGCGUAUUGGAUCAGAGCCCCGUAUUGGAUCGUAGCGUUGAUUGUUGACGAUUUAUUGUCAACAUUUACAAAAGAUAUUCAACUCGCGAUUACAACGUUGCACUCUUGGGGAGUACUUGUUGAGACUAUUAGCACUCGGACUUGCCAGACUGACGUAUGCAUUUGAAUUAAUUUAAGAAACUUUUAUAUAAUUCUACUUAUAAUACAUUGUUCUAUCUUAUAAUAUACAUAUGUGUCUUACAACGUAUUUAUAUCAUGAAUUGUAUAUUGUCCAAAUUAAACUGAUAAGCGUAAUUUUAUGUAAUUUUGUUAUAAAUAUUUGUAAUAGAUAAUAGACGCAGGAAGAUUGACUUUCAGAAAAGCUUCUGAGAAGUAAAGUUCAGAUUUUGUUUAAUCUAUUAAGAAAAGAAGUGAGUGCAAGUAGCAGAGUUUAAUGGGAGCUUAUGAAAUACAUGAAACUACACGAAAGGAGACACCGGGGGGCAUCUUUGACUUUCUAUUGCUGCGACCAUUUCCAUUUAUAAACUUGGUGAUUAUUCAGCAGAAAAUAAAAACAAAUAUAGAAAGUUUAUGAAAUUUACUUGUUACGUGCAAAAAUGAAAUGCCGAAAACAUGAUACGGAUAUAUCUUUAUAAAAAUUAGAAUGUAAGGCGUGUAUGCAUAAGUUGGCAACUUGUUUUGUAAUUACUUCGAGCGUAUUGUAAAUUGCUUGUAUGAUAACAGUUGUGUUAUGAAUAAAUAAACAGGAGACCAUUUAUUUUUUAGA